GACGAACGCUGGCGGCGUGCUUAACACAUGCAAGUCGAACGGAAAGGCCCUGCUUUUGUGGGGUGCUCGAGUGGCGAACGGGUGAGUAACACGUGAGUAACCUGCCCUUGACUUUGGGAUAACUUCAGGAAACUGGGGCUAAUACCGGAUAGGAGCUCCUGCUGCAUGUUGGGGGUUGGAAAGUUUCGGCGGUUGGGGAUGGACUCGCCGCUUAUCAGCUUGUUGGUGGGGUAGUUGCUUACCAAGGCUUUGACGGGUAGCCGGCCUGAGAGGGUUACCGGCCACAAUGGGACUGAGAGACGGCGCAGUCGCCAACGGGACGCAGUGGGGGGGAAUAUUGCGCAGUGGGCGGGAGCCUGAGGCAGAAGCGCCGCGUGCGGGAUGACGUCUUUCGGGUGGUAAACCGCUGUCGCCUGUAACGAAGCGUGAGUGACGGUAAUGGGUAAAGAAGCACCGGCUAACUACGUG
This 468-nucleotide ribosomal RNA is filed under the name uncultured bacterium. RNAcentral's name for it is "partial 16S ribosomal RNA". It matches the Rfam family "Bacterial small subunit ribosomal RNA", at positions 28 to 507 of the family's 1533-position model. The record is from RNAcentral.